AAGUCGUAACAAGGUUUCCGUAGGUGAACCUGCGGAAGGAUCAUUAACACUAAUGAAAUCCAAAACCUUUUGGAUCAACCCAAACCUUAGCGAACCGUUCGUACAUUUUCCUUUGCCCCAAUUUUACCAAACGCAAAAAACUCUGAUGUAACGUGUCUGAUUCUUAUUCUCGUUUCGGUUGUAAUGACCAGCGGGAAUCAAAAUCUAACGCAAUACAACUCUUAACAACGGAUAUCUUGGCUCUC
Molecule: unclassified non-coding RNA, 245 nt
Filed under: fungal sp.
Lineage: Eukaryota; Fungi
Description: partial internal transcribed spacer region
Rfam family: Eukaryotic small subunit ribosomal RNA (bases 1-46)
Source: RNAcentral